This 496-nucleotide ribosomal RNA is filed under the name uncultured bacterium. RNAcentral describes it as "partial 16S ribosomal RNA". It matches the Rfam family "Bacterial small subunit ribosomal RNA", at positions 28 to 506 of the family's 1533-position model. The record is from RNAcentral.
GAUGAACGCUGGCGGCGUGCCUAAUACAUGCAAGUCGAGCGAACAGAUGAGGAGCUUGCUCCUCUGACGUUAGCGGCGGACGGGUGAGUAACACGUGGAUAACCUACCUAUCAGACUGGGAUCACUUCGGGAAACCGGCUCUAAUACCGGAUAAUCUAUUGAACCGCAUGGUUCAAUAGUGAAAGACGGUUUUGCUGUCACUUCUCGCUGCAUCCGGGCCGCAUUAGCUAGUUGGUAAGGUAACGGCUUACCAAGGCAACGAUGCGUAGCCGACCUGAGAGGGGGAUCGGCCACACUGGAACUGAGAGACGGUCCAGAGUCCUAGGGGAGGCAGCAGUAGGGAAGCUUCCGCAAUGGGCGAAAGACUGACGGAGCAACGCCGCGUGAGUGAUGAAGGUCUUCGGAUCGGAAAACUCUGUUAUUAGGGAAGAACAAAUGUGUAAGUAACUAUGCACGUCUUGACGGUACCGAAACAGAAAGCCACGGCUAACUACGG